This is a non-coding RNA of Schizosaccharomyces pombe (fission yeast), 310 nucleotides long. Lineage: Eukaryota; Fungi; Ascomycota; Schizosaccharomycetes; Schizosaccharomycetales; Schizosaccharomycetaceae. The record is from the annotation of a GenBank genome assembly.
CGAUAACAAUCGUUUUAUUGAAGCGUUACUUCCACUUACAAAUUUCGCUUUUAACUCUUACAUACGUAUUAAAAUCGGAGACCUCAUUCACCGUAGUAGGUGUCUUGUUACAUUGUCGUGGGAGCUUUUCCAGUAUACGUGGAUGUUUAUUCUCCUAUCUACUCCUUUACUGCUAUAGCAUGCCGAACGAGUGAAAAUAUAGGAUUCUGUUCAAGCCUGAAACCCAUCAUCUUCUAUCGUCAUGGAACAUCAAUAAAACUAAUGAGGACAGAAUUCGCAAUCCAAGGGUGUGUUAAAAAAUUAUCGUGUU